UGCACGAGACGCGACUGGCGCAUUGGGUGGGAUCGACCACCAGGGAGCGAAAGGAGCGGAGGCCGUGCGCCUGGGUCUUCGCA
This 83-nucleotide non-coding RNA is filed under the name Nonomuraea sp. Its description in RNAcentral is "ZTP sequence". It matches the Rfam family "ZMP/ZTP riboswitch aptamer (pfl RNA motif)". From Rfam's summary of the family: Previously known as pfl RNA. The record is from RNAcentral. Lineage: Bacteria; Bacillati; Actinomycetota; Actinomycetes; Streptosporangiales; Streptosporangiaceae. RNAcentral also lists the same sequence under 1 other name.